Cyanistes caeruleus (blue tit) is the source of this 1443-nucleotide long non-coding RNA. RefSeq lists it as uncharacterized. Lineage: Eukaryota; Metazoa; Chordata; Aves; Passeriformes; Paridae. The record is from RefSeq and is a predicted model, not a curated record.
GGAGCCGGGGCCGAGCGGGGACAGGAGGCGCGGGCCGGGCCCCGGCGGGGAAAGCCGGUGCUGUCACAUCGCUGAAAUCACACCAUGUGUGAACCCAUGCGGGUUUUUCUUUCAAAAUUCAAGAAGUUAUCGAUUUAUUUACCUGUUCAGUGCAAUUCCGGAGCGUUACUAAAUGCUGCGGUGUUACUAUCUAGUUUAUCUUAAAUAUUCAGGUUUUUUGAGGUAAAAAAAGGCCGAGACGGCCUCCGGACCGAGGCUGAGUUACAAUGUGACAACAGUCUUGCUACUUAAUCUGGAGAUGCAUUGUUCGUCCGGAGGGGCUGGUGUUCCUACUCAGCCCUUUCAGUAUCGUUGUUUCAUUUCUCUUCAUCUAAUCUAAAUAUCUGGUUGUCUGUCCCUGUGCUAACUUGAAGAGGUGACCAUUUGCUGUGAGUUAAUGAUGUUUAUGAUCUCUCUUCCUUCUAUGAAGCAACAUCACAAAAGGAAUGCACUGUGCAAGAUUUUCUCCUUGCAGUUAAUAGUACCAGGCACAUUUUUGUUGAGAAAAAUGUUCUUUAAAACAUACUAGAAUAAAUAAAAAUAAAAAUGCUCUGCUAUGUUAGCAUUGUUUUGUGCUUAAUCCUGAAAAAGAGGGAACUUUUCUCCUUGCAGCUUACAGUUUGUUUGGGAUCCAGCUAGUGUAUAUAAUUGGAAAUUGCAUUUCCAAUUAGGAAGGGAAAAUGAAGGGAGAAUAAAGGAGUCUCAUCAGUAAUAUGUUAACAUGGAAAAUUACGGAAAAUUACUGUAACCCUCUACUGUCCAUCUAUUUAAGGUACAGGAGUAAUAUUACAGGAGUAAUAUUGGGGGGUCUGAAAGAAUCAAAUAAUAAGAAUUUUACUUGAGGAAGAUGAUGUGUUUUUACAUGUGGGAAAAAACGUGUAAGGAGCAGUGUAGUAACCAGUGGUCACAACAUUUUUUGCUGUAUGUCUUAGGCCUUGGACUGUCAGAACAUUUUAUGCUGUAGCAUACUGGUACCUUCUGCUAAAUUUUGUUUCCCAUGGCUUAUCCUACGUGGCUUCUUGUGGUUUAAGGGAAGGAGGAAGGAGGCAGGUAUAAAGUGGAAAAUAAGUGUCUAGGACCAAAAGAAGGUCCCUGAUGUAUUACAAGAAUUUGUAUUUCUGCUUUCUGUCUUGUUGUUUCUACGGAAAAGUACAGAAAAGUACUGUUUCUUAGAAGUCCCUGUGUUAUGGAUCUAUGCUGGAUUUUGAAGGUCAGUGUUGCUGGACUGUGUAGAUACCAAAACAUUACUGCUAUUCAAGUGUCAUACCUUUUCCUGCUGUAACUACUGUUUGACUCAUGUAAUGAUUCACAGUUCAGAUAUACAGUUCACUGUUCAGACAUACAGUUUAGGAAAGAUCAGCAAGAGGUUCCAUUUUGAGAGUAUCUCUAAGAGUUGGAAGCAAC